This 204-nucleotide ribosomal RNA is filed under the name uncultured bacterium. RNAcentral describes it as "partial 16S ribosomal RNA". It matches the Rfam family "Bacterial small subunit ribosomal RNA", at positions 156 to 348 of the family's 1533-position model. The record is from RNAcentral.
AGGAAGAUUAAUACCGCAUAAGAUUGUAGUAUCGCAUGAUAUAGCAAUUAAAAGGAAGCAAUUCGCUAUAAGAUGGACCCGCGUCGCAUUAGCUAGUUGGUGAGGUAAUGGCUCACCAAGGCGACGAUGCGUAGCCGACCUGAGAGGGUGAUCGGCCACAUUGGGACUGAGACACGGCCCAGACUCCUACGGGAGGGCAGCAUG